GUGGCCAUAGCUCAGUAGGGAGAGCGUCAGACUGAAGCCUCAACUUCACUCGUCCUAUCUGAAGGUCACGUGUUCGAGCCACAUUGGCCACA
This is a non-coding RNA of Lasiosphaeria ovina, 92 nucleotides long. Lineage: Eukaryota; Fungi; Ascomycota; Sordariomycetes; Sordariales; Lasiosphaeriaceae. The record is from the annotation of a GenBank genome assembly.